UGAUAGGAAAAGGACUUAAACCUUUGUAUCUGGAGCUACAAUCCACCGCCUAUUACUCGGCCACCCUACC
RNAcentral lists this transfer RNA (70 nucleotides) under Batrochoglanis aff. villosus LBP2347. RNAcentral's name for it is "tRNA-Tyr". The record is from RNAcentral. Lineage: Eukaryota; Metazoa; Chordata; Actinopteri; Siluriformes; Pseudopimelodidae.